RNAcentral lists this unclassified non-coding RNA (202 nucleotides) under soil metagenome. RNAcentral's name for it is "partial contains 5.8S ribosomal RNA, internal transcribed spacer 2, and large subunit ribosomal RNA". The record is from RNAcentral.
AACCUAGCACACCUGCGGUGUGUACCUGCGGAAGGAUCAUUACCGAGUCCUGCCCCUGGGCAGAUCUCCCACCCUCUGUGAUCAGUACCCUCGUUGCCUUGGCGAGCCGCCGGCAGCGGCCCGCCAGAAGGCCCCCUAGACCCUAAAUGUCGGUGUCGUCCGAGUACAGUACGCAACGAUUAAAACUUUCAACAAUGGAUCU